GGGGUCUAGUAACUCAGUAAGGCCAUACUCUGGAAACAGCCUGCUCAGGAUUGAAUCCUGAGGCCACUCCUUGUUAACUGUGCCUUGGUUUCCCCAUCUGUAAAAUGGGGAUGGUGCUGACAACUGGGCAGUGUUCCGAGUGGUUUGCACAUAAGCCUAUUGAUCCAUUUAAUUCUUCUAACAACUCUGUGGGACUCCCACACCAGGAGAGAGAGGACUGUCCAGACCUGCCUGUGUGAGCAUCUUGUCUCGCACACAGGCUCCUCUGCAAAAUAGGAAGAUAGCAUUCCAGUUUUUACGUCAGCGCUUGGCACUGGAUGCAGCGUGAGCCAGACCAGGUCCCUGCCGUCCUGGACCGUCCAUUCGGGAAAGGCACCUGUUGGACACAGGAAUACCCGCAUUAUCAGACGAUGGCGCGCACUGGGAGAAGGCGAAGUGGGGAAGGGGCGGGGAGGGGGAGGCGGGGGCUGAGCUGGACGGCGGGGGAAGGAGCGUCCCAGCAGAGGCCAAACGAAGUGGUG
RNAcentral lists this long non-coding RNA (521 nucleotides) under Equus caballus (horse). RNAcentral's name for it is "lncRNA (ENSECAG00000050754.1)". The record is from RNAcentral. Lineage: Eukaryota; Metazoa; Chordata; Mammalia; Perissodactyla; Equidae.